This is a long non-coding RNA of Astyanax mexicanus (Mexican tetra), 1766 nucleotides long. RefSeq lists it as uncharacterized. NCBI's taxonomy places the organism in Eukaryota, Metazoa, Chordata, Actinopteri, Characiformes, Acestrorhamphidae. The record is from RefSeq and is a predicted model, not a curated record. The transcript has 2 exons.
UAUAUAUAUAUAUAUAUAUAUAUAUAUAUAUGUAUAUGUUUCUAAAAUAGAUAUUGUGUGGUAUAUAAUUAAUACUAAAAGUCAUUAUUCUGAUUUCUUUAUGAGAAGUUGGACAAAUAUUCUGAUAUGUCUAUAUCACACUGAUCGGAUUCCCAUGUGUAAUUACAUAACCUGUAGAACUGUAAUUAAUCUGUAACAAUACAUAUUUCACAUGUAGUUACACUGUUAUUACAUGAAUUGUUAAUGUGUAACUACACAGUUAUUAGAGACACUUAUUAUAAAGUGGGACCGAUUAAAAAAUAAUGGCUCACAAAUAUCAGUACUUACUACAGUAAUGCAUAUCUCAGCUAUUUAUUAAUUGAUACUAGUUAAGAUAUUAAUAAACAUUGCUAUGUUUUGUGAUGUUUAAAAUUGUUGUAAAUAAUAAUGAAUUGAAUAGUACAUUUUUUUGUAAUGAUAAAUAAUGUGUUUACUGGUGUUAAUUAAUAAUAAGUCGAGGCAUUCUGUUAUAAGUACUGUUAAUUAAUGGAUCAAAAUUCUGCCCCUGAUAAAAUGCUGUGUGUCAGGCCAGAGGGUCUCGGAGCCCGAGUUACUGUGUGCUGUUGUUUUGAGCCGCGCCCUAAAGCCUCGGCCUUGGAGGAGCCUUCUAUCUCUCCCCAGAGGAAACGACUCACAUGCGAGAGCUGGAAGCCUCUGUAGUUCACGUGCUGCACCGUGCCGUGCCUCCCCUCCUAUCAGGAGCAGAAUCUGCUCCUUCCUCCUCAGCCUACUAAUCUGCUUUUAACAAGAAAACAUUCUACUGGGCUCAGUUUUAUUUCAUGAUAAUUUAAUGUAACUUGUUUAAUGUGAUAAGCUCUUAGAGGGGUGCAGGGGUAAGCUUAUGUUUUUGUGUUUUAGGACCACUGAAAAAAAUUAAAACACCAGAUUUUGAGAAUAAAGUCGUAACAGAAAAGAAAAUUAUACAUUUUUUGAAGAAUAAAGUCAGAAUAUUUUGAAAAUAAUGUAAUUAUAUUGAGCAAAAAAAAAUCGUAAUAUUUUGAGAAUAAAGUCAUAACAUUUUGUGAAAAAAGUCAUAAUAUUUUUGAGAAUAUAUUCGCAAUAUUAAAAAUAAAGUACAAUUUUUUUUAAAAGAAUAAAGUCAGAAUAUCUAAAAAAACAUAUCAAUAUGUCUUGGUAGUAUGUCACUUAAUUCUUAAAAUAUUAUGACGUUAUUCUUUAUGGCAUUAUGAUUAUUCUUAAAAUAUUAUGGUUUUAUUCUUGAAAUGCCAUUGUGUACGUUUUUUUUUUCUCAAAAUUUUACAACUUUAUUUUUUUAAUAUUACGACUUUAUUCUCAAAGUAUAAUAAAAAGUGUUUUUUUUUUGUUUUUUUGCAGUAGCCCUUUUGCACUUUUGUCGCAAACUAGAAACCCACAUACAGCUUAUAAUAAAAACACAGUGUAAUAUACUUUGAGCUACACAUUUUUUAAACUGUAUAUUAAUUCAGUCUACUGGCGUCUCUGGAAGCGUAUUGGCUCUGAUCUGCUUGUCUGCUCUGAUAAACACGUCACUAAUGGCUGUCACUGAUAUUAAGAUAUCCUCCUCCUCAUUAGCAUUAUCUGAUACUGUACUGUUUCUGACAGACUGUGUGACUUUCUGACACGUUUCCCUGUUUUUAUGACUCUUUUAUGACUGUACAAAUUGUGAAAUUUUCAGAUGAACUGUAUUUCUGAUGUUUUGUAUAUAAGAACUGUAUAAAUACAAUAAACUGUGUUAUUGUUGAGCGGCA